CUCUCUCAAACCUUCGGGUUUGGUAUUGAGUGAUACUCUGUCAAGGGUUAACUUGAAAUAUUGACUUAGCAAGAGUGUACUAAUAAGCAGUCUUUCUGAAAUAAUGUAUUAGGUUCUUCCAACUCGUUAUAUCAGCUAGGCAGGUUUAGAAGUAUUUUAGGCUCGGCUUAACAACAAUAAACUAAAA
Molecule: unclassified non-coding RNA, 187 nt
Filed under: Hansenula anomala
Lineage: Eukaryota; Fungi; Ascomycota; Saccharomycetes; Phaffomycetales; Wickerhamomycetaceae
Also listed under: 1 other name
Description: Wickerhamomyces anomalus partial internal transcribed spacer 2
Source: RNAcentral